This 34-nucleotide non-coding RNA is filed under the name Kordia algicida OT-1. The record is from RNAcentral. Lineage: Bacteria; Pseudomonadati; Bacteroidota; Flavobacteriia; Flavobacteriales; Flavobacteriaceae.
AUGGGGAAGCUGAAAACCUAUAAUAGAGUAAGCA